Molecule: non-coding RNA, 1817 nt
Organism: Tetranychus urticae (two-spotted spider mite)
Lineage: Eukaryota; Metazoa; Arthropoda; Arachnida; Trombidiformes; Tetranychidae
Source: RefSeq, a predicted model, not a curated record
UGCCGCAUUGGCGGACUUGAGUAAUCUAAGCUGACACAACAGCAAAGACGAAGCAACCAGCAAAAAUGGUUCGGAUCAUUUUGAAGUUGAUUGUGUGGGUCAUGUGAUUAAAUUAUACCAAGAUGGACUGGCGCAAUCAAAACGCAAUCGAGUUAAUCUUGUUGAUAAAUUUUUAGAGAUCAUUAUAAUUUUCAUAUAAAUAGAGCCAAUUUUUUAAACAAUUUUCAUUCCAAGUUUAUAGUUUCAAUUCAGACUAAUUUGUCAAUUUUAAAAGUAAAUCAACCUAAACAAUCAACUCAAAAGUGAUUCGAACCAUUGCUGCUCUUUGCCUCAGCUCGAGUCACUCCAGUCCGUCAAUGUGCCAAAACUGGUAAGUAAACGGUUUUCAGUUAGCAAAAAUAUCGAAAUGAUAAUUGCAAUAUCUAUCUCAUUCAAGGAUCUUCCGGAACUAUUGCAAAUGUCAAUGUUGAACCCUGUGAUUCUGAUCGAUGUGCCUUCAAGCCAAACACCAAAGUUGCCAUCAAAGGUGAACUCACCACAACCAGCACUGCCGCAAACCCAACUGACUCUGUCCAAAUUGAAGUAGGCGGUAACUUCAUUGAAUACCCUGGUAUCUCCAAGGAUGCCUGUGAAUACUUUUCCUGUCCAUUGAAAGCUGAUGCCACAAACCUCUACAAAAUUGAAGUCCAAUCCAAUGACUGGCUUCCACCCAUGGAUACCAAAAUACAAUUCCACGUUUACGAAUCUGAAGGUGGUGCUGAAUUGGCUUGUAUUGAAGCUGAUAUUGCUAUCAUUGCUGCAUAAAUGACUAUUGAACAAAUGAUCAAAUCAAUGAAAUAAAUGAAUUUUACUAUCGCAAACUAAUUUACAAUUUGUAUUUCUUAUUGAAUGACAAUGUUUCCAACUAAUUGGUUUCGUUGGUAAUCGUUUAAAUUGUCAAAUGAUUUCAAGUUUAUGUGGGACAUCCGUUUGAUCACUUUAUCUCGUGCUAAUAAAUAAGAAAUCUGCAAUCAUGACAGAAUUAUACAAAUUAAAAAUAAAUUGAAUAGAAUUAAAGUUCCAUGAUUUUCGCAUGCGAAUCGAUUUUGAUUUUUGCUAAAAAUUGUCAUAUGUUUAUUGCAAACUUAUACAAACUUAUCAAACAAAAUUGGUUACUUUUCUUGCUAGUAGUAAGUAGGGGAUAUUGAUAACUUAAGGGGAGGCCUUUACGCGCGAAGAAAAUAAGGGGAAAAAUGGGAAAACAAUAACAACAACCAAUAAACAUAGAAAUACUUUAUACGAUAUAUUUUUUGAAACAAAAUCAUAUUUUUUACAGUUUUAAGUUUAUCUUUUCCAUCCAUUAUCUCAACAGCUUUUUUAAUGCUGUUCAUUACACAGUUAUGCUCGUGAGGCUUCUGCGUUCCAGAUGCUAUUUCACCACAUCUAAUGUUUAAUUUUUUAGCUAUUAAUUUUCCGAUAGUACCUGGGCUGACUUCCAAAAAAACGAAAGGGUCGUAAAUUACCAUUUUAUAUGAUGUAUCGCGGUAAAUAAUUACCAAACGACAAUGUGAACCAUCAUACUCAAUUCCAUUAAAACUAGAAGUUAUUAUCACUAAUUUCUCUCCAUUUUUUGUACACUUCCGGGCUUCUUUCACCACAGCUGAGGGUGCACAAUACAGAGCCGAUUCAGGUUCGCCAGAUGCAGCACCAUAGAUUUUUGACAUUUUAAAGUUUUUACAUGAACAAAAUUUUUUAAAUAACGAAAACUUAGAACUAUUUUUGAUAACACUUUCUCCAUCUACGAAAUAGUUACACAAAAGAGAUAGCACUGUUUCAAA